This is a long non-coding RNA of Phacochoerus africanus (Common warthog), 976 nucleotides long. RefSeq lists it as uncharacterized. The transcript is spliced from 2 exons. Lineage: Eukaryota; Metazoa; Chordata; Mammalia; Artiodactyla; Suidae. The record is from RefSeq and is a predicted model, not a curated record.
AGGAAGUCCCCGGGCCAGCAAUCAAACCUGCACCGUGACCGUGACCGUGACCGGACCGCAGCAGUGACGGUGCCAGAUCAUUAGCCCACUGAGCCACCAGAGAACCUCCACAUUAUGUAAGUUUGCGUUGCCCCCGAGCAAGGGCCCUCCCUCUCUUUGGCUUGGACAAAGCAAGUGGCCAGGCUGCGAGUGGCCUUUGGAGGGGAUCGAGCCUGGAGGAGGUGAGCGCAGCCUCCAGCUGACAGCCAGCAAGAAAGCACGCCCUUCGGUCCAACAGCCUGCAAAGCCCUGAAUUCUGCCAACAACAACCUGAACUUGGAAGUGAUCCUUUUCCAGUCCAGCUUCAGAUGAGACUGCUGCCCUGACCCGAGUGGUAGCUUUCAGAGAUCCCGAGCUGGAGGACCCAGCCCAUCUUUGCCAGGACUUCGGACCCACAGAAACUGGGAGAUAAUAAGCGAGGCUUGUUUUAAUCUCCUAUGUUUUGGUGUAACUCGUUAUGCGGCCACAGGAAACUAAGAAGCUCGUUCAUUUUAAAGAACAGAGCCUGCUGUCCUGGAUGCACACGGAGCUGGAAGGAGACGACGGCCUUCAGAACACUGGGAGGGCUGCUGCAACUCAGCUACCAGAUGAUGACUGGAGAUGCAGAAAGAGCAGCCUCGGAUUUGCAUCCACUUUGCAUUCAUUUGCAUAGGACUGCGUUCAGCCGAGCCCCCACCCCUCGUUCAUCCUUCUUCGGGGGUGGGGGAGGGGGGCUCCUCCAGGUCCUCUCCUUUGGAGAAGAGGAGGGGGGUGCAGCCUGAGGAGGACACAGCCCCUGCCCAGGGCUGCGGGGGCAGGGGGUGGAGGCGGGAUUGUCUCUCUUGAGGUCUGGAAAAACUGCCGAUGGGCAGGAGAGUUCGCCUUCAUUUUCCUGAGGGUCAUUUUCUCUCUUACGCCAUGAGCUUGCUGCGCUAAUAAAUUGGCCCUUGUGGUUUAA